Molecule: unclassified non-coding RNA, 1189 nt
Filed under: Haliotis rufescens (red abalone)
Lineage: Eukaryota; Metazoa; Mollusca; Gastropoda; Lepetellida; Haliotidae
Description: uncharacterized LOC124124872, transcript variant X3
Source: RNAcentral
UCACUCGCAGGAGUGGAGCAGAGUUGAUGAUGUGUGGAGUGAGGGCGUAUUGAAUCUGUUCCUUUCGUUGUUUGGUUUGCUUCAAUAUCCUGUUCAGAAUCAAACUGACGAAUACACCGGGGUUUGGCAUUGGUUGACUCUCAACCAAUCAGAGUUCUUCGUAGUUCUUUAUAGAAGAAGCCCGCUGCUAUGAUAUGUGUCAGUGUUUCUCUGACUAUCGCAAUGGAUCGUCUAACGAUGCGGCUUGUGUUUGGCCUCGCUGUCGUCACAUGCCUUUCCAUCACAAAUACGGAAGGGACCUUCAGAUUCAGAUGUCCAAGGUUUCGUUGUCUGCAGUGGAUCAAAUGUGGUAACGGCAAUGUCGAGAUAUGGGGCUGUCCAGUAUGCCUGUGUAAACCACCCCCCACAACAACAAAGAAGCCGGAGUUGUGUCUGACCUGUUGUGGCCCUCCGCCAUGUUGUAACUUCUGCUAACGUCAACCAACUUCCUAACGUCGUUCUGGUGAACAGUUGACUUACCUGCGUUUGUGAAGUGUGCAGCCGAUGUGGCAGGAGACAUCCAGCUUGAAUUGUUAUUGAUUUAUAAACACAUGAACACAGUCGUUCAUAUGUAGUACUUACGGUAGAGUCUUCAGCAACCCAUGCUUGUCUUAAAAGGAGGCGACUAACGGGAUCGGGUGGUCAGGCUCGCUGACUUGGUUUGAUGCAUGUCAUCUUAUCCCAAUUGCGUAGAUCGAUGUUUAUAUAUGAUGUCAAUUACUUGAUUGUUUGGUCCAAACUCGAUUAUUUACAGACCGCCGUCAUAUAGCCGGAAUAUUACUGAGUGCGGCGUUAAACAACAAAUAAACACACAAACUUAAGGUAGUAUUACUUCAAUCUUACAGCUAGCCUGACCACCCGAUCCCGUUAUUCGUAAAAGGCGACUCACGGUAUCGGGUUGGCUGACUUGGUUGAUGCAUGUCAUCGUAUCCCAACUGCGUGGUCCAGACUCGAUUAUUUACAGACCGCCGUCAUAUAGCUGGAAUAUUGCUGAGUACGGCGUUAAACAACAAACCAGCCAACCAACCAAUCUUACAGAUGCCUUCACGCCAUCUAGAUGAAUGUAGGACCAUCAACAGAAGAAUGUAAAAGCUUUUUGUAAACUGUUCUCUUGUUCGUUUUCUUGUAUAAAUAAAGUACUGUAGGACUA